UAUAUCACUCGUCUUCUACACAAGUAGCAUAUGAAGCUUUGUUAGCCUAGAUAAAUCAGACAAGAACAAAAGGAGGGUGUGAAAGAACUAAAGAAUGGGAGACAUCAGGAACGAAGUGAACAUCACUUGGUGGAACAAGUAGCAUGCCGUCUUCUCUUAGUCAUCAUGUUGUUCUUUGGUUGGUACGUUCUUGAAUUGAGGGUCUGCGCUACCUUGAAUGGGUGGAUUUUUGUCCAUCCUCGGUUGAUCUGUUGUUGUCAUGCCUAGCGCGCACAUUGACACAAAGUCGAGCAUUUUCUUGAAAUUGUCGCCUCUAUUUUGUUCACCUCGAUCGUCACCUCUUCAUCCAAGUCAGAGUUGUCUAGUCCCUUGCGCAGGCGGCCGACUGUUUGGUAUGGCCGAACAUGGCUUUCAGCAAGGGCUUAGUUGGCGAUUGGGUAUGAUGAAGUCUGAGUGUUGGCUCGUGGAGGGAUGAUGACACAUGUAUUAUUUAGUCAUAGAACAUAAUGAAAGGUAUGUAAAGAAAAACGCUACACUGCUGAAGAAUUCUUGGAACAUUAAGAAAUAAGCUUCAACGUGAGUGAACAGUAUGUUGUAUACAUAUUAUUAUUUUUAAAGCUUUGCCUCAUCACAUUAGUUAAGGAAG
Molecule: long non-coding RNA, 646 nt
Filed under: Hordeum vulgare
Lineage: Eukaryota; Viridiplantae; Streptophyta; Magnoliopsida; Poales; Poaceae
Description: long non-coding RNA (HVUL_LNC017559)
Source: RNAcentral